Molecule: non-coding RNA, 372 nt
Organism: Pelobates cultripes (western spadefoot toad)
Lineage: Eukaryota; Metazoa; Chordata; Amphibia; Anura; Pelobatidae
Source: the annotation of a GenBank genome assembly
UUUGAGGGUUACCCUUCCUUUCAGGUGUGCAGCCUCCCCCUCCCCGUUGUGAUCAGUUUGGAUAGCGCUGUUCCAUCCCUCUUAUUUUUUUCUUGAUUAUUAAGCUUCAACAUUUUAUGCAUGAAAACGUGGAUUUCCAAACUUGUACCCGGGCUUCAAUCCUCCCUAGUACUCCAGUGUCAUACUCCCAGCUUCUGCAGAGACACAAAAGCCUCAGCCAACCCAAUUCAUUCCAGUUUCCAGUCUAGAUAACACAAGUGUCUCUUCCUAAAUAACCUAAAGGAAUCCUGGCUCAUCAUGUCUUUUAUGCAAGCUUUCCUCGCACAAGUCAACUUCACUGAACAAGGAGGACAUCCACCAUGUACCGCCCAG